RNAcentral lists this ribosomal RNA (252 nucleotides) under uncultured bacterium. RNAcentral describes it as "partial 16S ribosomal RNA". It matches the Rfam family "Bacterial small subunit ribosomal RNA", at positions 524 to 776 of the family's 1533-position model. The record is from RNAcentral.
UACGUAGGGGGCAAGCGUUGUCCGGAAUUAUUGGGCGUAAAGCGCGCGCAGGCGGCUGUUUAAGUCUGGUGUUUAAUCCUGGGGCUCAACUCCGGGUCGCACUGGAAACUGGGCAGCUUGAGUGCAGAAGAGGAGAGUGGAAUUCCACGUGUAGCGGUGAAAUGCGUAGAGAUGUGGAGGAACACCAGUGGCGAAGGCGACUCUCUGGGCUGUAACUGACGCUGAGGCGCGAAAGCGUUGGGAGCAAACAGG